GUGCCAGCAGCCGCGGUAAUACAGAGGGGGCGAGCGUUGUUCGGAAUUACUGGGCGUAAAGGGCGCGUAGGCGGCCAACUAAGUCAGACGUGAAAUCCCUCGGCUCAACCGGGAAACAGCAUCCGAAACUGGUAGCCUUGAGGUAUGGAGAGGGAAGUGGAAUUCCAGGUGUAGCGGUGAAAUGCGUAGAUAUCUGGAGGAACACCCGUGGCGAAGGCGGCUUCCUGGCCAUAUCCUGACGCUGAGGUGCGAAAGCUAGGGGAGCAAACGGGAUUAGAUACCCUGGUAGUCC
RNAcentral lists this ribosomal RNA (292 nucleotides) under uncultured bacterium. RNAcentral describes it as "partial 16S ribosomal RNA". It matches the Rfam family "Bacterial small subunit ribosomal RNA", at positions 505 to 796 of the family's 1533-position model. The record is from RNAcentral.